UACAGAGGGUGCGAGCGUUGUCCGGAAUCACUGGGCGUAAAGGGCGCGUAGGCGGCUUUUCAAGCGUGCGGUGAAAGCUCGGGGCUUAACUCCGAGUCUGCCGUGCGAACUGGGAGGCUUGAGUCUGGUAGAGGUCGAUGGAAUUCCGGGUGUAGCGGUGGAAUGCGUAGAGAUCCGGAAGAACACCGGUGGCGAAGGCGGUCGACUGGGCCAGUACUGACGCUGAUGCGCGACAGCGUGGGGAGCAAACAGG
This 253-nucleotide ribosomal RNA is filed under the name uncultured bacterium. RNAcentral describes it as "partial 16S ribosomal RNA". It matches the Rfam family "Bacterial small subunit ribosomal RNA", at positions 524 to 776 of the family's 1533-position model. The record is from RNAcentral.